ACUACUUUGGCAGAUAAGUGCAUUAGAUUUAGGAUCUAAAAAUGAAAUAUGUUUCAGGUAGUA
Molecule: transfer RNA, 63 nt
Filed under: Ctenolepisma longicaudatum (long-tailed silverfish)
Lineage: Eukaryota; Metazoa; Arthropoda; Insecta; Zygentoma; Lepismatidae
Description: tRNA-Leu
Source: RNAcentral